This 182-nucleotide non-coding RNA is filed under the name Clostridium sp. The record is from RNAcentral. RNAcentral also lists the same sequence under 1 other name. Lineage: Bacteria; Bacillati; Bacillota; Clostridia; Eubacteriales; Clostridiaceae.
AAUAUUAGUAACUACUCGGGUUUUUGCGAAAAAUUAAUAGGGAAGGCGGUGUGAGUCCGCCACAGCCCCCGCUGCCGUAUUAGGGGGAUGGCUGCAACAAUAUACCACUGGCAUGAUGCUGGGAAGGGGUUGCAGACAGGAGAUCCUUAAGUCGGAAGACCUGCCCGGUAGGGUGAGAUAUG